GAUUCGCGUGGGCGGAGAGGGAGUCCACACCACGCCUGGAACCAACGCCGCCGGCUGGAAAAGCAGUGGCUCGCAUGCCUCUGAGGCCCGGUGGAAUCGAAUAUGGCAUCACAUCUGCCUCCGUACCUGAGCGCUCCCCCAGCCUGCAGUUCUCAUCCAAGAUCCCUGAUCUCAAGAUUUCCCCCAAAGCUAUAGCUUCUGUUGAGGAGGAAGAUGAACCCAUCAACAAGAUCAUUUCAAACGUUACAUGAGAUACAAUUCUUGGUAUGGACUCUGGAUCUGCUCUCCAUCCGCUAGUUAAUGCAGAUGCAGCAGGGCAGUUGGACAGCCAUAAGACUCCUCGUAGUUUUCGCCCGUUGAGUAAUAUUUGUCUCGGGUAGCUUCUUUAAAGGUCUCCAGACCAAGGAUUUCCUGCCCCUGUCGCUGGAGUCUCCUUCAUGUAUAUGGCGGCGAUGCUCUCUUCAUUUUUUCGGAUGCAAGGGGUGUUCCCUGGGAUUUCACUUCAAAA
Molecule: long non-coding RNA, 508 nt
Organism: Lolium rigidum
Lineage: Eukaryota; Viridiplantae; Streptophyta; Magnoliopsida; Poales; Poaceae
Exons: 3
Source: RefSeq, a predicted model, not a curated record